AAACUAACAUUUUGAAAUGUCAAGUAUAGUGUAAUUAAUAACCCUUCUUUCACAUAUCUUUUAUCUCCAAUAUUUUUACAACCAUUUGCAGUAGAUAAAACAGCUGUUAUUCGUAAUUAUAGAAAUGAAGAUAAUGAGGUCAGCAAGAUUAUAGAGUUGGCCAAGUGCACAUCACUACUAGGAGAUACGGCUGGGUUUAGAAACACGAACUUUCUUAUUUUUGUUUCAGUGCUCUUUAUAUUAUAUUACUAUGAUGCUCUAUGUGAUUAAAUGAUACAAGUUCCAAGAGCAGUACUCUAUAGUCCAAGAAAGGAGAGUGGAGUUCAACCAUAACCCAUUUUCAUAACGAAUGGUCCUUUUCUAUUAGUGUGUCCAUUUUAGAAACAUAAUCCUACCUCAGUCCUAAGCACAUGGAUCAGCCCCUGAGAUAGCUUUCAUUACAUACCUACCACACAUAAGAGCUAACUAACCCUCUGUGAAGAGAAACUCCUCUUAGAAGAUGAAAUCUGUUGUCCUAACACACCCAUGAAGGAAAAAAGAAACCCUUCUCCUCUUAUCUCAGUGAUGUUGCAGACACAGAGCAGAGCAGUACAUCAUGUGAAGCCUGCCUCCAAAGCAGCUCAACAGCGGGGUUCAUGGACAUUAAUACCCCAUUUGUUUCCAAGAACGGAGCAGCUGACAGUGUGAUGGGAUGAUGUUAUAUAUGCACACAAGCCUGCGGCAGCAAACCAACUAUGCACAGCUGGGUCUUUGCAGAUGUAAUUGAGUUAAGAUGAGGUCAUUAGUGUGGGACCUAAUCCAACAUGACUGCUUUCCUUAUAAGAAGAGGAAAAUACCAUGUGAAGAUAGAGACACCCAGGGAGAACACUGCAUGAUGCCAGAAGCAGAGAUUGGAGUGGUGCAACUGCAAGUCAAUGAAUGCCAACGAUGGAUAGCCACCACCAGAAGCUAGGAAGAAGCAAGGCAAGAUUCUAUCCAGACUCUCAGAAGGAGAAUGGCCCUGCUGACACCUUGAUUUUUAGACUCCUAGCCUCUAGAACCAUAAAAGAAUAAAUUUCUGUUGUUUCUAGCCAUCCAGUUUGUGGUACUUUGUUAU
RNAcentral lists this long non-coding RNA (1096 nucleotides) under Equus caballus (horse). RNAcentral describes it as "lncRNA (ENSECAG00000045583.1)". The record is from RNAcentral. Lineage: Eukaryota; Metazoa; Chordata; Mammalia; Perissodactyla; Equidae.